UAGUGGACCAAUCCUUUCUUUUUCUCUCUCUUUUGAAUGUAAAAUUAGAAUGCUAAGAAUGUGAUUGACCCAUUCCUUGGCGAGGCAACUGUAGUUGCAGCCAUGGUAGGUAAAUCAUUUCCCUUUGUUUUUUAAUUUUAAAUUUCGAAUGCUGAGACUUUGAUUGUCUAGUUUCUAGAUGUUAUAAUAUUUCUUAUUUGAGUUCACAUGACAUGUUGAGAAUGUGGUUGAUAUGUUUCUUGGCGGAGGUAACUGUAGUUGCAGCCAUAGUUGGCUAAACCUUUCUUUCUCUCUCUUUUGGGUUUAAAAUUGGAAUGCUAAGAGUGUGAUUGACCCAUUCCUUGGCGAGGCAAAUGUAGUUGUAGCCGGGGUGGGUAAAUCCUUUAGCUUUGUUUUCAAUUUUAAAUCCUGAAUGCUGAUAAUUUGAUUGUCUAGUUUCUAGAUAUUACAAUAUUUCUUAUAUGAGUUCAGAUGACAUGUUGAGCAUGUGAUUGAUCUGCUUUUUGGCGGGGAUAACUAUAGUUGCAACCGUAGUGGGGCAAUCCUUUCUGUCUCUCUCUUGGAGUUAAAAUUGGAAUGCGAAGAAUGUGAUUGACCCAUACCUUGGCGAGGCAAUUGUAGUUGCAAAAGCACAGCCUGGCGGGUAAUCCUAUCCUCUUUGUUUUUUUAAUUUUGAAUCUCGAAAGCUGAGAAUUUGAUUGUCUAGUUUCUAGAUGUUAUUAUUUCUUAUUGUGUUGACAUGACAUGUGAAAUGUCCGUUAUAUAUUUCUUGGCGAGUUAACGUAGUUGCAACCAUAGUGUGCCAAUCCAAUCUCUCUCUCGUUAAGUUUUUAAAUUAGAAAUGCUAAAAUGUAAUUAACCCAUUCCUGGCAAACAACUGUAAGUGCAAGAUCUGUGUGGUUAAAUGUAUUUUUCUUUGCUUUUAUGUUUUAAAUUCGAUUGCUGAGAAUUUGAUUGUCUAAUUUCUCUAAAUUUUACAAUAUUCUUAUUUGAGUUCACAUGACAUGUGAAUGUCAAUUGAUAGUUUUCUUUCUUAGUCGGGGUAAUUGUGCUGCAGUCUUAAAUGUUCCCUUGCAAACCGUAGGGGGCCCAAUCUUUCUUUUCUCUCUCUUUUUUGAGUUUAAAAUUGAAUGCUAACAAUGUGAGUUGAACCCAUUCCUUGGCGGGGCAACUGUAGUUGUAGCCGUUGUAGGUAAAUCCUAUCUCUUUGUUUUUUAUUUUGACAUCUCGAAUCUGGGAAUUGGAUUGUCUAGUUUCUAGAUGUUACAAUAUUUCUUGGAUGAGUUCACAUGAAAAGUUGAGAAUGUGAUUAACCCAUUCCUUGGCGGGGGUAACUGUAGUUGCAAUCGUAGCGGGCCAAUCCUUUCUCUCUCUUUUGAGUUUAAAAUUGGAAUGCUAAGAGUGUGAUUGACCAAUUCCUUGGCGAGGUAACUAUAGUUGCAGUCUUGGUGGGUACAUCAUUUCUCUUUGUUUUUAAAUAUCGAAUGCGGAUUAUUUGAGAAUGUGAUUGAUAUGUUUCUUGGUGGGGUAACUAUAGUUGCAGCCAUAAUGGGGUAGCUCUUUCUUUCUCUCUCUUUUGAGUUUAAAAUUGGAAUGCUAAGAAUGUGAUUGGCCCAUUCCUUGGUUAGGCAAAUGUAGUUGCAGUCGUGGUGGGUAAAUCCUUUCUCUUUGUUUUUUAUGUUUAAAUCUCGAAUGCUGAGAAUUGGAUUGUCAAAUUUCUAGAUGUUACUAUAUUUCUUAUUUGUGUUAACAUGACAUGUUGAGAAUGUGAUUGAUAUAUUUAUUGGCCGGGUAACUAUAGUUGCAGCUGUAUUGGGCCAAUCCUUUCUUUCUCUCUCUUUUUUGGGCUUAAAAUUGGAAUGCUAAGAUUGUGAUUGACCAUUCCUUGGCGAGGCAACUGUAGUUGCAGCCGUGGUAGGUAAAUCCUCUCUCUUUGUUUUUUUAAUUUUAAAUCUCGAAUGCUGAGACUUUGAUUGGCUAGUUUCUAGAUGUUAUAAUAUUUCAUAUUCGAGUUCACAUACAAGUUGAAGAAUGUAUCGACAUAAUUUCUUGGCGGGGAUAACUAUAGUUGCCAACCAUAGUAGGCCAACCUUUCUCUCUCUCUUUUGGGUUUAAAAUUGGAAUGCUA
RNAcentral lists this long non-coding RNA (2128 nucleotides) under Actinidia chinensis (golden kiwifruit). RNAcentral describes it as "long non-coding RNA (ACHI_LNC003475)". The record is from RNAcentral. Lineage: Eukaryota; Viridiplantae; Streptophyta; Magnoliopsida; Ericales; Actinidiaceae.